Molecule: long non-coding RNA, 1130 nt
Filed under: Pogona vitticeps (central bearded dragon)
Lineage: Eukaryota; Metazoa; Chordata; Lepidosauria; Squamata; Agamidae
Description: lncRNA (ENSPVIG00000010188.1)
Source: RNAcentral
UUCCUUCCUUUGUAUUAUAAUUUUUUUUCACAGCACGGCCAUGCGGCUUUCAUGGCUCCCUGUUGGGAUUCUCGACAACGGUAGCUUAUUCAGUGGACGGCAGAGCUGGGAUAGUUGCAUGGAAAAGUGGGCAGAUGUUUUAAACUCACUUUUAUAGGAACAAGAUUUUUCAGCAAAUGCGUGGUUUUUCUCGUAAGCUCCCCCCCCGAAAUCAACGAGGGCCGCAUGAAUCCAGAACUGUGGAACGCCACUAAUUCCCUUCUUCUGCUUCUCUCUAAUACAGAUGGAGAGCCACAGCUGGCCUCCACAGUCAUUGACACUAUCCUGGCCGGCUUGCCGGGACCUCGCGGCGCACCAGGACCCAUUGGACAACCGGGCCCACCUGGAUCAUCAGGCCCCAAAGGGGCCCCGGGAUCUGUUGGCACUCCUGGCUUACAGGGCAUCCCUGGCUCCCCAGGACAGCCUGGACCGAAAGGAUCCAAAGGAGACCGAGGAGAAAAGGGUGAACCUGGCAAGAAAGGCGAAGAAGGAGACAAAGGUGCAGAUGUAAGAAUCCAAGCAAUUCUUCUUUAUAGUUACGGCCAUUCUGUUCCCACACAAUCUCUCCCUCCCUUAAUGGAUACAAUAGGAGGGAGGGGCCCAGGCACACACCUCCAAUGAAAAUCCAUUUCAUAGGAGGGGGCCACCACGAAGAAGGUCUCUCCUCUCUCAGUGGGGCCACCCUCAGCCACGAGGCCCUGGGAGGACCAGGUGAAACGGGUGGAGCUGUUCUUUGUGAGAGAUGCUACUACAGUAGUACCUUGACUUACGAACUUAAUCUGUAUUGGAAUGGCGUUCAUAUGUCGAAAAGCCUCCAAUGAAAAUCCAUUUCAUAGGAGGGGGCCACCACGAAGAAGGUCUCUCCUCUCUCAGUGGGGCCACCCUCAGCCACGAGGCCCUGGGAGGACCAGGUGAAACGGGUGGAGCUGUUCUUUGUGAGAGAUGCUACUACAGUAGUACCUUGACUUACGAACUUAAUCUGUAUUGGAAUGGCGUUCAUAUGUCGAAAAGGUGGUCCUGUUCGUAUGUCGAAAAGUUUGUAAGUCGAGGAAAACCUUUCCAUAGGAAUGCCUUGGAAACCAUUUAAUCCG